Non-coding RNA from Eleginops maclovinus (Patagonian blennie), 76 nucleotides. The record is from the annotation of a RefSeq genome assembly. NCBI's taxonomy places the organism in Eukaryota, Metazoa, Chordata, Actinopteri, Perciformes, Eleginopidae.
GCUCCAGUGGCGCAAUCGGUCAGCGCGCACGGUACUUAUAAUGCUGAGGUUGUGAGUUCGAGCCUCACCUGGAGCA